CCUACGGGGGGCUGCAGUGGGGAAUAUUGGACAAUGGGGGCAACCCUGAUCCAGCCAUGCCGCGUGUGUGAAGAAGGCCCUCGGGUUGUAAAGCACUUUCAGUGAGGAAGAACGCCUGGUGGUUAAUACCUAUCAGGAAAGACAUCACUCACAGAAGAAGCACCGGCUAACUCCGUGCCAGCAGCCGCGGUAAUACGGAGGGUGCGAGCGUUAAUCGGAAUUACUGGGCGUAAAGCGCGCGUAGGUGGCUUGAUAAGCCGGUUGUGAAAGCCCCGGGCUCAACCUGGGAACGGCAUCCGGAACUGUCAAGCUAGAGUGCAGGAGAGGAAGGUAGAAUUCCCGGUGUAGCGGUGAAAUGCGUAGAGAUCGGGAGGAAUACCAGUGGCGAAGGCGGCCUUCUGGACUGACACUGACACUGAGGUGCGAAAGCGUGGGUAGCAAACAGGAUUAGAUACCCCGGUAGUC
Molecule: ribosomal RNA, 465 nt
Filed under: Vreelandella stevensii
Lineage: Bacteria; Pseudomonadati; Pseudomonadota; Gammaproteobacteria; Oceanospirillales; Halomonadaceae
Description: partial 16S ribosomal RNA
Rfam family: Bacterial small subunit ribosomal RNA
Source: RNAcentral